UUGAUGCGUUUCCGUCACACUCAGAGAGGCCGUCGAGGCAGGAGGGGUCUGUGGGCUUCUGGCGGGCACCCCGCGGCCCCUCCCUGGGGCCGCCCGCCGAAGCAACGUGGGUAGGUUCGCAGUGGUCUGGAGUCUCCGACUCGGUAAUGAUCCCUCCGCUGGUUCACCAACGGAGA
RNAcentral lists this unclassified non-coding RNA (176 nucleotides) under uncultured fungus. Its description in RNAcentral is "sequence contains ITS1". The record is from RNAcentral. Lineage: Eukaryota; Fungi.